RNAcentral lists this ribosomal RNA (561 nucleotides) under Psychrophrynella sp. r RVM-2017. RNAcentral describes it as "partial 16S ribosomal RNA". It matches the Rfam family "Bacterial large subunit ribosomal RNA", at positions 1810 to 2605 of the family's 2925-position model. Lineage: Eukaryota; Metazoa; Chordata; Amphibia; Anura; Craugastoridae. The record is from RNAcentral.
AAAACAUCGCCUUUUGUAAAAUAUAAAAGGUCCAGCCUGCCCAGUGACUUGUUCAACGGCCGCGGUAUCCUGACCGCGCGAAGGUAGCGUAAUCACUUGUUUUCUAAAUCAAGACUAGUAUGAAUGGCAUCACGAAGAUUCCACUGUCUCCUUUUUUCACUCAGUGAAACUAAUCUUCCCGUGAAGAAGCGGGAAUAUACUUAUAAGACGAGAAGACCCUAUGGAGCUUUAAACUAUGAGUCAUCUACAUAAUUAGAUUCUUGUCUGAAAUAUUUUGACUUUUACGCUUUAGGUUGGGGUGACCCAGGAGAAAAAAUUAUCCUUCUGAAUGACAUGGAUCUUCCUUAGCAAUAAACUACACUUUUAAGCACCAACACAUUGACAUUCAUUGACCCAGUCUUCUGAUCAACGAACCAAGUUACCCUAGGGAUAACAGCGCAAUCCACUUCGAGAGCCCAUAUCGACAAGCGGGUUUACGACCUCGAUGUUGGAUCAGGGUUUCCCAGUGGUGCAGCCUCUACUAAAGGUUCGUUUGUUCAACGAUUAAAACCCUACGUGAUC